This 253-nucleotide ribosomal RNA is filed under the name uncultured bacterium. RNAcentral describes it as "partial 16S ribosomal RNA". It matches the Rfam family "Bacterial small subunit ribosomal RNA", at positions 524 to 776 of the family's 1533-position model. The record is from RNAcentral.
UACGUAGGGACCAAGCGUUGUUCGGAUUUACUGGGCGUAAAGGGCGCGUAGGCGGCAUGACAAGUCACUUGUGAAAUCUCCGGGCUUAACUCGGAACGGCCAAGUGAUACUGCAGUGCUAGAGUGUGGAAGGGGCAAUCGGAAUUCUUGGUGUAGCGGUGAAAUGCGUAGAUAUCAAGAGGAACACCUGAGGUGAAGACGGGUUGCUGGGCCAACACUGACGCUGAUGCGCGAAAGCCAGGGGAGCAAACGGG